GCGACCAUGGCGGAAUUGGUAGACGCGCUAGCUUGAGGGGCUAGUGCCCGAAAGGGCGUGCAGGUUCAAGUCCUGCUGGUCGCA
Molecule: transfer RNA, 84 nt
Filed under: Tistrella mobilis KA081020-065
Lineage: Bacteria; Pseudomonadati; Pseudomonadota; Alphaproteobacteria; Geminicoccales; Geminicoccaceae
Rfam family: tRNA
About the family: Transfer RNA (tRNA) molecules are approximately 80 nucleotides in length. Their secondary structure includes four short double-helical elements and three loops (D, anti-codon, and T loops). Further hydrogen bonds mediate the characteristic L-shaped molecular structure. tRNAs have two regions of fundamental functional importance: the anti-codon, which is responsible for specific mRNA codon recognition, and the 3' end, to which the tRNAs corresponding amino acid is attached (by aminoacyl-tRNA synthetases). tRNAs cope with the degeneracy of the genetic code in two manners: having more than one tRNA (with a specific anti-codon) for a particular amino acid; and 'wobble' base-pairing, i.e. permitting non-standard base-pairing at the 3rd anti-codon position.
Source: Rfam by way of RNAcentral